RNAcentral lists this long non-coding RNA (451 nucleotides) under Musa acuminata (dwarf banana). RNAcentral describes it as "long non-coding RNA (MACU_LNC006967)". Lineage: Eukaryota; Viridiplantae; Streptophyta; Magnoliopsida; Zingiberales; Musaceae. The record is from RNAcentral.
UCACGUUCUCUUUGUUUCUUUAGAUUUUCCCACCAAAAAGAUGCAUUCCGCCUGAGUUUGAGUGCCACAAGUUUGACCUUCUUUUGUUCUGGUGGUUCAUGAAAAUCGAAGAUUCUUUCUACUGUAUUAAGCCAAUCGAUAAAGUCAUCAACAUUUAUUUUCCCUUCAAAUUCUGGAAUAGCAAAUCUGGGAUUAUAUUUAUUGUGCCACUCAUCUUGGACUUCAUUUCUUCUCCGACAUCUUCUUGACUCCCUUGGAAGAUGAGGUGUUUCAUCAUCAGAAGUAAACUCUCGAGUGUCAUUUUCAUGCUGGUUGUGUCUACUUUGAAAUUCAUCGAUUAUUUCAUUUUUUUCUUGUAGGCUACGCAACAAUUUUUGUAGCUGCAGCCUCAACGACUCAGCGUCAUUUUCAUGGUCGCCACCUUCACCAACUACAUCUUUUCCAUUCCGCC